Long non-coding RNA from Vespa mandarinia (Asian giant hornet), 7100 nucleotides. The record is from RefSeq and is a predicted model, not a curated record. Lineage: Eukaryota; Metazoa; Arthropoda; Insecta; Hymenoptera; Vespidae.
CUUAAGAAGGAAUACGUUCGUUUUUGCAGGAUUACCGUCACGGAUCUUGCGGUUUCUUUGAAUGUUUUAUAUCGUAAAAUUCGCCAUUCCAAAUUCCGAGAAUCUAACGUAGCCAAGAAGAAAUGAGAGAAGGAAAAAAGAGUUCCCUCGAGGACACGAAGAAUGACUCUCGAACUAGCUAAGGAUUCGACUCAGAUCGAAAUCGUAUGGUUGCGAUACGAGUGGGGGAAGGGGGUCACCGAUGCUGUAUCACCGUGAAUGGCCCAUUAUUUCGUUGGAAAUCAAUGGAUUUCUCUCCUUCUCUCUAGCGAGCUUAUCGACGAAACGAACGUCGAUAGUACCGAUUAUCCGAGGUAAAACUGCGGAGGUCAUUCGUUGACGGUAAGUUAGAUAGAGGCCGUCAUUAUUUUCAACACGAACAACACAAUUUUACAGAAACGCGAUAAAGUUGGAAAAAGUCAUCUCGAAGAAUACUCGCGAUAGCUGAAAAACGUUUAGGAUAUACCUGCUCUCUCUCUCUCUCUCUCUCUCUCUCUCUCUCUCUCUCUCUCGGAGAAAUACCUCCGAUUGGGAGAAAUCGUCUUUUCCCUAUAUUAAUGCAUAUCUAUAUUCCAACAAAAUGCCCCGAGAAGAAUACAAGAAAAAUCAAAGAGCCGACAGAGAGGAUGGGUUUUCGUCGCACGAACUUCUGCCUCGUCGAACAACGAUCCGUGAACGAACGACGGAAAGAACGAAAAUUGUGGGUCGAGUCGUGUCGGUGAAUGGAGAUGGACCGCGAUACGACGAGUAUCCUGCUUUUCAAAAGGUCCAGACGAAAGAAGAGAGAGAGAGAGAGAGAGAGAGAGAGAGAGACCGAAGAAGGGUGGAGAUGAAUGGCGAUAAGGACCCAAGGAUUCCGAAGAAAUCCUGAUUCGAGACAGAGAUAUUCUCCUCGAUCGGUGAUCGCUCGAGAGUUUUAUUCUCAAAGAUUGCGGUCGACCGUGAAGAGUAGUCCCUUACUCGAGCGGCCCGGACUCGAGCCAAAAGCUCCCAUUUAUAAGAAUAAGAGUGGAACAGGAUAUCCGACGAGAUAACACACCGAUCGCUUUCAAUUAUGACUCCGAGGGAAAAUCUAGCGGAGGAUUGAAAUUUUCUUCCGAUCGUUCUUUCCUUUAGUUUCUACGAACGACAAGGAAAUUCGAAGAAAUAUUAAAAACGUUGGACGCGAUGGAAAAAAUAUAAGAAUAUUCAUUGUACUUUUCUUUGUAGGAAAUAAGUAACCGCUUAUUUAAAAAGAUUAUGUAAAGUACGAUUUACUUUGGUCAAUCCAUCAUCAAAAUGAUUCCGUAUACCGGAUCCAUAUGAAAAUGAUCAACGAAAGUAAAUGAACGUAACCGACAUCACUUUGGUAGAUAUAUCCACCAGGAUCAGAGAUAGUAGGAGAAGCGCGCGAUCAAUGCCACGCUAUAAAUUUUAAGCAACAAGUCGAAUCAUCCCGAAACAUUAGCGAGGUUUAAAGAAGUAGGAUGAGAGAAGGGUGAAGGGAGAAGACACGUCGAGGAUAACGAACGAUGCACGAUCCUGAAUUGUCUAACGAGCCGGAAACCGGAAGUGCCGCGUAUGAAUCGCGAAGAAAUCGCGUUUAAUGGACGAUCCCGAAGCUGUCCAAGCUGUUUGACUUCCGUUUCUAUACGAGCCGAGACGCUUGACUUUGUCCCUUCUUUCCUCUUUCCCCACCAUCUCCUUCUUCUUCUUUUUAUUCAUGCGUCGACGGAAACGGGAAGUUCGUGCACAUGCAUUCGCGAUUACCUCCACCUUUUUCUUUGCCAAAACUAAUUCAUCUUUCGUCCCGAUUAGAAGAGUUUUAUCGCUUCUCGAAAGAGAUGUUGCCAGCGCGAUCUUCUUCUCGAAAGUUCUUUGAAAAUGGUCGAUAGAUGAAAUCUUUUCCUUCGGAAGAAAAUGUUGAGUGAUUAAAGCGAACGAGAAACAAGAGUAAUAGGUAUAUUCGAUGGACGCAAACGUAAAUGAUCGACAAACGAUUGCUAUUCUUCGUAGAGAAGCGCGCAUACAGGAAUACAACUCGCAUUCUCUGGGUUCGUAAGUGCAACGGUCAACGACGUUAUUAUUCCAGCUCAUUCCUUAUCGAAUAGGUCAUCGUCGAUGUUCUAUCUCGUUCUUGCGCGAACUCGCAGCGCAAGCAAGCUCGUGCGCACGUACGACACCGGAGACCUAGCAGAAAAUUCUUUGCUCGCUCUCUCUCUCUCUCUCUCUCUCUCUCUAUACGCAUUGCCUUCAUUCAUUUGUCAAGCGACGAAUUUCAACGCUCCAUCUACUUCUAUUUCCAUCGAAUCGAAUUUCUUCGACGCGUGCGAACAAACGAUGCGCCUACAUGCAUAUGUAGUUAUCCUAUUAGAAGAUUGCGCCACAUUGCGCCAUGUCGUUGUUCUCAACAAACUCAAAGCGUUUCUCUCUUUUUUCUUUUUCCUUUUUAUUUCUUCUUCGUCCAGCUACCUUUGAGCCGCCUUCGAGUCGGAUUUACUCGGUGCCGGGGUAAAGCUCUGCUUACCACCCGGCGUAUUACGCAAAUGCUCUCUCGCUUGUACAAUACACACGACGAGCGUUGUUAUUUCAGAACAACGUUGCGCCUACGGUGUCCCAUCUGUCGCGUAUUUACGCUUUCGCAUCGCGACUAUUAUCUUGGCCGCGUUCGUCGUUGACUUUUUUCACGACUGCCGGUUGACGACGUUUCAUUACCUUGACCCGCUUUACCGGACUAACCCAAGUAGCCGGACACUCGGUAAGUACCAAGUGCCUUUACAAUGUUCGACCAAAUACGGUCUUAGUAGUGCAGCUUUCACGAAAGACACCGUAAGGUUUUGCAAUACCGAAGGCUGCCGUUACAUGGACCAAAUAAUGAUUAAUUGCGUUCGCGAAGCGAUAAUUAAAACGUCUCGGAAACGACGUUGUAGCUUCGCGUCGAGAAUCAGCCAAACGAUAAAGAAGUAACGAAUUCGAGGCGAUCCUUUUCGACGAGCUCUUUGCUCUGAAAAUACAAACUUCCCAUAGCGUACCAUAACUUAGCCGGAGACAGAGUAAAACUAAAAAGAGAAGAGAAACGGAUCGUAAAGAAGCGCGUUUCUCGCAUCGACGAGCUUCUAGCGGAGAUGAGAUGGAAUUACAAUGAAAAGGAGUAGUCUCGACCACGGAAGAGGAUGGAAGAAGAAGAAGAAGAAGAAGAAGAAGAAGAAGAAGAAGUGAAAAAAGAAGGGACAUUCGGAAUAACACUUAAAUCGUUUUACGGAUGGUGAACUAUUUCUACCACGUCUUGGCUCGUGCCACGUCGAAGCGAGCGAGUUUCAGUUGCUUUUAGUUCAACCAGAGAGAGAGAGAGAGAGAGAGAGAGAGAGAGAGAGAGAGAGAGAGAGAGGAGGAAGAGAAGAACGUGUCGAGACUCUCGAGCUCGUAUAAACGGUAAGCAGAGGGAAAAAGGGGAGGUUCCUCGAGGUGAGACGGGAGUUGGAAAGGGAGAUUAAUGAGGUUAUGUCGUCGACUUGGUAACCAGACACCUACGGUCCUGUUUCCAUUUCACCACCGCAGAUACGUGCAAACUCUAUACCGGCUUUGGUGUGCGUAGGGGGUGUCGUGGCGCCAGGAAACAGAUAAGAAGAGCCAGAAGCAGACGGUGUUAGUGCCAGGACGUGCUAGCCUAUACGCUUUUAUCCCUCCUCGUUCUUUUUAUCAUCGACGUCAGCGCGCAUUCUCUCUCUCUCUCUCUCUCUCGCGCGCGCACUCCGACUAUCUCGAGACGAGACGUUAUAACGAGCGAGAAGCGUCGCGAAGCGAGCGACCAGUCGAGAAUCUUCGCGAGCAGCUCCCUAAUCGCGACAUCCGUCUUCUCCUUCCUACUCCUCCAUUCUUAACUCUUCCAAGUGACAAUGGUUUGCCUCGUGACUAUGAGCGCAGAUCUUUGUUCGCGAAUUGACCGGCCACGUGAGCGCAAAUCGUUUCGCGGAAGAAAUUGUAUAGAUGCUCGAACCGAACAGUCUCUUUUCCGAGUCAAAUCGGACAGACAAUAACCAGAAGAAAUUGAGCAGGCUUCUUUCGAAUUUUCUCUUAUCAAUCUACAGAUAUAUUGUUGAGAUUUUUAUUUAUCGAUGGCGUGCCCAAAAAAACAGCAAUGUCGAGCUAUCCACUGAGACGCGCGUACUACAGAGGCGCAGAAUCGAGAAAUUACAUAAAAUGUUGUAGCUCGUUACGUAACAAGCUUCUCCUCCGGUAUUUUGCUUGCGCGCGUCGAGAGAGAAAGAGAGGAGGGGGGGGGGGGGGGACAAGGGAAAAGAGAAAGAGGAAUUCGUCCAUGCACGAGUAAGUCGUCCUUUCUCGUUUGAGAUCUAUUUUAGGUAGAACGCCCACGUAAUUUGCUUGGUGCCCUUUGUUCAUCGAUAAAAAUAAGAUAAAAAGAAUAGGGAAGAUGGGAGAUUGUACGUUGCGAACGCACUACAAAAGCACCGCUAACGUUACUUUAAUUACUCGAAAUGCGGCUAUCCAACCGCAUUCGCGCAAUCUGCGCACUCUCAUCCCGAUUCCUGGCUUUCUCUCUCUCUCUCUCUCUCUCUCUCUACAUUGGAUUAUUCUCCGGUCUCUUUCGCCACAAAGCAAAGUACCGUGAAUAGAGUCGGCUCUUCGACCUCGUUCCGAUAACGUUCGAGCUUUAAUGUGAUUGCUUCCUGAUUAGCAGCGAUCGAUCGAUGUCCAAUGUACGGCCGCGUGAACGACGUCAAGCGGUUCAUUCAAAAAUGAACUACUGGCUACGAGUAGCCGUAACGUCUGCCUUUCCAAUAAAAGUUGUAGCGUAAGAGAAAAUUUCUAUGACAUGAGGUCGAUGUUCAAUAAACAAGCGUAUCGUCGCGAAAACGUUUUACGUAACUUGGUUUGCAUUAACAGGACCGGCGCGGUAAUUAAAGCCUCUCUCGUAGUCGCUUACGCCAUCAUUCGCCGCCUACAUUCACUAUAAAUAGGCAUGUUUUACCAAGAGUUUUGCACGUAAAGUGCCGGCACGCGUGUCGGUCGCACUUUGACCGCGCAUCGGCCGCGCUUCACGUCGACACGAUUUAUUUCGUUCAAACGAAUCUUCAUCGACAUGCACGUUAAUCUAGACUUUUUAAGCGUACAUAAAAGAAGCGUAUCUAUUUAAUAGGAUUAAAUGGCGAAAUAUAAAGGGCAUAUCGUAAAACGUAGGAAAUUCCUCGUCCAGCGUUUUGAAUUCGUGCCGAAAUAAAGCGGCGAGAGCACGAUGAUGCGACAAUUCGCGUCGCUCGAAAUAUCGUGGGUGAAUUAUUAUCCGCGUAUAGUAGGUACGUACUAUCGCGCGAUCCGAUUAAAACUUUGUCGACUGUGGCGUCGCUCGCCAAUGGCGACUGAACCAUCGAUUGGAUUUCCCUGGAAUGAAACCCGCCGGCGCUAUACCUCCCGCUAGACGGUACGCGCGCGCGAUAGAGUACGGGAGAGAGAGAGAGAGAGAGAGAGAGAGAGAGAGAGAGAAGGAGGAAAGGAAGCAAGAGGGUAGUAGAGAUCGAUUGUCCUUGCCUCUCAAGGCUGCUGCCGGUGCUCCGUCGAGGAGGGUGAGUUGAAAUAGAAUUUAUAGCGUACGCUUCUGGCAUAUUAAUAGAACCGACAACACAGCUCGUCCACGACGACGACGACGACGACGACGACGACGACGACGAAGCCACUGCCAGUCCAAUUUACACGACUCGCAGUGCACGCGAGUUACGGAAAUAAGAACCAAAGCAAGGUCCGACCAUUUUCUUCCAUUUCUCUUUUUCUUUCUGCUUCCUUUUUUCAUGAUAUAACCAACGGAACCAGUUACACGAUCGACGCGACCGACGGUACCGUUCGCUUCGUAAUUAACUCGCUUAUCAGAGAGUUAUAUAAAUAAGUUAUUACACGCAAGAGAAAUUGCGUCUGUAUCGGCAAUGAGCAAAAGUAACGAACGAGUUGUCCUCAGAAUCGUAGGAAAAUCAAUAAUGAAUCGAUACGACAGUCUCUUUUCCAUGUCGAAGUCAUAAAGGUAGAAACCCCUCGUUCGAUCGCUUUCUAAGGAGUACUUUCUGAGUCAUGCACGAGUCGCCAAUGAGUGUUGUCCUCGACGAGUGGAAAAAGGUAGAAUAAAAACAGUACUCGUAUGGGAAGUGCGACAACGUCCUGUGUCCUACGUUCGACGCUCGUGUCUCAUGAACGAUUCAAACUUGUCGCUUAUUCGCUUUAUCGUUCAAGUUUCACCAACGAUAAACAAACGUCCGUUAGAUAUUCCUUCGCCUAUGGUAUACUGUACCAGAUGGUUACGUUCUACAGUAUGUCCUACGCAUUAAUCCUUUCUCUUUCAUUUUCCUUUAAACGAUCUAUCUACUUGUGUAGCUCUACUUGGAAUACGAGCGAGAAGCUCCCAAAAACUUUAACGCGAAUUCAUAAAUACUGUGCCAUAUAAGAUUUAUUACAGUAGAAAACGAUCGUACGUUAAUUAUCUAAUUACCACAAAAAUAUAAUUAUCUGAUAACCAUGAAAAUAAUAUCAACGAGAUCAUUCUUACAAGUGUUGAUCGCGAAAGAUCGAUUGCCUACUCGAAUGCCCUUUCCCCGUCCGAUCGACAGACGGUCGUAAAAAAGAACUCGGGCGCAGUGCGGUGAUAACUCGACGAAUUUAAUAUCCGUUACUAAUUGGUCGCAAUUAGCAACCGAUUCGUUGGGUCCGUUCCGUUAGAUGCGAUCCUAAAAGAGUAUCUUUUUAAUUAUUCGUUAAUUAGCGAUCUGAUAAUUUUAAUCAACGGGCCCGAGAUUAAUUGACAACCUCGCGGUCUCUAUCGGCCGUUUCCUCGAUUGCUCUUUUUUUUUUUUUUUUUUUUUUUUUUUUUUUUUUUUUUUUUAAUGAAGAAAGGAGGAGGAGGAGAGAGAGAGAGAGAGAGAUGUCAAAGGGUCUAUCGCUAACAGGUAGGUACACUUCGUUCUGAACGACGAUGGGAAGAGAAACGAAUAAUUUAAGUGUCUAACUGAUAUGACCACACAACCGCUAAUACCCAUACGCAGCUAUAUAAGAAUCCUCGUUUUGUUAUUUUAUGAUGUUUU